UACAGAGGAGCCAAGCGUUGUCCGGAUUGACUGGGCGUAAAGCGCACGCAGGCGGUCGCGCGCGUGGGGUGUGAAAUCUGGCCGCUUAACGGCCAGGCGCCAUCCCAUACGGCGCGACUGGAGUGAUGCAGAGGUCGGUGGAAUUGCCGGUGUAGUGGUGAAAUGCGUAGAGAUCGGGAGGAACACCAGUGGCGAAGGCGGCCCCCUGGGCCGUACCUGACGCUGAGACGCGAAAGCGCGGGGAGCGAACGGG
RNAcentral lists this ribosomal RNA (253 nucleotides) under uncultured bacterium. RNAcentral's name for it is "partial 16S ribosomal RNA". It matches the Rfam family "Bacterial small subunit ribosomal RNA", at positions 524 to 776 of the family's 1533-position model. The record is from RNAcentral.